This 72-nucleotide transfer RNA is filed under the name Myxococcales bacterium. RNAcentral describes it as "tRNA-Gln". It matches the Rfam family "tRNA". From Rfam's summary of the family: Transfer RNA (tRNA) molecules are approximately 80 nucleotides in length. Their secondary structure includes four short double-helical elements and three loops (D, anti-codon, and T loops). The record is from RNAcentral. Lineage: Bacteria; Pseudomonadati; Myxococcota; Myxococcia; Myxococcales.
UCGGGGGUAGUUCAAAGGUAGAACGCCUGGUUCUGGUCCAGGAUGUUGGGGGUUCGAAUCCUCCCUCCCGAA